Molecule: ribosomal RNA, 274 nt
Filed under: uncultured prokaryote
Description: partial 16S ribosomal RNA
Rfam family: Bacterial small subunit ribosomal RNA
Source: RNAcentral
UACGUAGGGGCGAGCGUUGUCCGGAACUACUGGGCGUAAAGGGUGCGUAGGCGGCCCUUUAAGUCAGAUGUGAAAGCCCGCAGCUUAACUGCGGAAUUGCAUUUGAAACUGGAGGGCUUGAGUGUCGGAGAGGGUAGUGGAAUUCCCAGUGUAGCGGUGAAAUGCGUAGAUAUUGGGAGGAACACCAGUGGCGAAGGCGACUGCCUGGACGAUAACUGACGCUGAGGCACGAAAGCUAGGGGAGCAAACAGGAUUAGAUACCCUGGUAGUCCCU